CGGAUUGAAGGCUGAAAUUCGCCUACAUGAAGUUGGAAUUGCUAGUAAUGGCAGGUCAGCAUACUGCCGUGAAUACGUUCCCGGGCCCUUGUACACACCGCCCGUCACACCAUGAGAGUUGGAGAUACCCGAAGCCUGUGAGCUAACUUUUUAAGAGGCAGCAGUCGAAGGUAGAAUCAAUGAUUGGGGUGAAGUCGUAACAAGGUAGC
RNAcentral lists this ribosomal RNA (209 nucleotides) under uncultured bacterium. RNAcentral's name for it is "partial 16S ribosomal RNA". It matches the Rfam family "Bacterial small subunit ribosomal RNA", at positions 1294 to 1500 of the family's 1533-position model. The record is from RNAcentral.